GCGAGUACGAGGCCAACUCACUUCUUCACAUUUCCAAGUAGGAAUAAUGAACUCCAGCAUGGAACCACUAGGUUUCUGAUGUUCUAUCUUAACCUGCCGACAUGUAGAGCACUUAGCCACAAACUCUGCAACCUCUCUUUUUAUCCCACUUCACCAAUAGAUCUCCCGCAAGUCAAGGUACAUCUUAAUGGCCCCUGGAUGAAUAGAGUAUCAUGCACCAUGCGCUUU
This 228-nucleotide long non-coding RNA is filed under the name Capsicum annuum. Its description in RNAcentral is "long non-coding RNA (CANN_LNC007598)". Lineage: Eukaryota; Viridiplantae; Streptophyta; Magnoliopsida; Solanales; Solanaceae. The record is from RNAcentral.